AGACUUCUUAACUUAUCCAAAAUACUAUGAACCAAAUCUAGAGACACUUGGACAGGAUUUUCACUGAAACACUCAAUUGAAUUCAUUAGUAAUCACAAGAUAUACUUAAAUGCUUUGAGCUCAUCAAAAUCAAAUGGAGUUUUAAUCAAUCACUCCACACGGCAGAUCCUUGUUGCGCCUCUUUUGCAUUUUGUCUUUGAUACUUAAUAAAUUCCUUUUGUCUGGGUGUUUGGAUGUCUUUAUGAAGUAUGUAUAAACCCAAAAACUGUUGCAAAAAUUGUUUUAAAAUAGUAAUAUAGCAGUAAUUGAAUGGGCAGCUUACCUGAUUUUUAUUCAUUAUGUCUAUAUGAAAUGGCAGCAUUAAUGGAUGACUAUUCGAUUUAGAAAACAGGUUAAACGGAUUAAAUAGGUUAAACGGGUUAAACGGGUCGGAUCGGGUAAACAGGUUAU
RNAcentral lists this long non-coding RNA (450 nucleotides) under Phoenix dactylifera (date palm). RNAcentral describes it as "long non-coding RNA (PDAC_LNC005532)". Lineage: Eukaryota; Viridiplantae; Streptophyta; Magnoliopsida; Arecales; Arecaceae. The record is from RNAcentral.